RNAcentral lists this ribosomal RNA (253 nucleotides) under uncultured Prevotella sp. RNAcentral describes it as "partial 16S ribosomal RNA". It matches the Rfam family "Bacterial small subunit ribosomal RNA", at positions 524 to 776 of the family's 1533-position model. Lineage: Bacteria; Pseudomonadati; Bacteroidota; Bacteroidia; Bacteroidales; Prevotellaceae. The record is from RNAcentral.
UACGGAAGGUCCGGGCGUUAUCCGGAUUUAUUGGGGUUAAAGGGAGCGUAGGCCGGUCUUUAAGCGUGCCGUGAAAUUUUGUGGCUCAACCAUGAGAGUGCGGCGCGAACUGGAGACCUUGAGUGCGCGGAAGGCAGGCGGAAUUCGUGGUGUAGCGGUGAAAUGCUUAGAUAUCACGAAGAACCCCGAUUGCGAAGGCAGCUUACAAAUCUAUAUCGGACGCUGAGGCACGAAAGCGUGGGGAGCAAACAGG